CACGUAGGGCGCGAGCGUUGUCCGGAAUUAUUGGGCGUAAAGAGCUCGUAGGCGGCCUGUUGCGUCCGCUGUGAAAGCCCGGGGCUUAACCCCGGGUCGGCAGUGGAUACGGGCAGGCUAGAGGUAGGUAGGGGAGAAUGGAAUUCCCGGUGUAGCGGUGAAAUGCGCAGAGAUCGGGAGGAACACCAAUGGCGAAAGCAGGUACCUGGACUAUUACUGACGCUCAGCUGCGAAAGCUAGGGGAGCA
Molecule: ribosomal RNA, 247 nt
Filed under: uncultured bacterium
Lineage: Bacteria
Description: partial 16S ribosomal RNA
Rfam family: Bacterial small subunit ribosomal RNA
Source: RNAcentral